This is an RNA transcript of Panicum virgatum (switchgrass), 2185 nucleotides long. It is a transcript of the gene named probable apyrase 6, with no coding region annotated. The record is from RefSeq and is a predicted model, not a curated record. NCBI's taxonomy places the organism in Eukaryota, Viridiplantae, Streptophyta, Magnoliopsida, Poales, Poaceae. The transcript is spliced from 9 exons.
CACCGGAUCCCCUCCACCACCUCGCCGCGGCGCGCCGGCGCCCCCCACCUCCCCGCCGCCGCGCCGCGCCCCCCGAGCGUCCCGAACGAGCCGCCGGGGCCGAUCUGCACCCCCCGUCAGAUGCGCCGCCCCAAUACCCGCGGCGAGCACAAGGAACAAACCCUAGCUCCCGCCCCCUCCCCCGCCGCCCGGAUCAGGAUGGGCGCCACGCGGCGGCAGCCCGGCUCCCGCCGCCGCGUCGCCACCGCCCUCGCGCUCCUCGCCGCGUCCGCGCUCGCCCUGCUGCUCCUCCUCGCGUCCCGCUCGGCGCCCCCGAGGUACGGCGUCAUCAUCGACGCCGGCAGCACGGGGAGCCGCGUCCACGUCAUCGCCUACCGCGCCGGCCCCGGCCGGGGCGCGCCCCCGCAGCUGGACUGGGCGCGCACGGCCUCGCUGAAGGCCAACCCGGGGCUGUCGUCCUUCGCGGCGGAUCCCCGCGGCGCGGGGCUGUCGCUGGCCCCGCUGGUGGAAUUUGCUCGGCGCCGCGUGCCGCGGGAGAGGUGGGCGGACACCGAGGUGCGGCUCAUGGCCACGGCGGGGCUCCGGCUUCUCGACGCCGCGGUGGCAGAGUCCGUUCUGGAGUCAUGCAGGGAUGUGCUUCGCCAAUCGGGCUUCCUGUUCCAGGACAAAUGGGCCACCGUGAUCUCAGGGGCUGAGGAAGGUAUAUAUGCAUGGGUUGCAGCAAAUUAUGCAUUGGGGACUCUAGGCGGCGAUCCACACGACACCACUGGGAUAAUUGAGCUUGGUGGGGCAUCUGUUCAGGUCACUUUUGUAACGGGUGAACCUUUGCCUCCAGAGUUCUCUCAUGUACUUAAGUUUGGCGAUGUCUCAUAUAAUCUGUACAGCCACAGCUUUUUGCAACUUGGCCUGAAUGUAGCAUAUGAGUCACUCCAUGACUUGCUCAGCUCACCUGGCCUUAAAUCAAUGGCCGCACAUAUAAUUACUCAAACGAAGUACAAAGAUCCUUGCACUCCAAGGGGAUUUACAAGUAUGGUGGGAACAGCUAAACUUCCUGUUAGUGUUCUUGAGCCAAAGGUUGAGUACAGACCUUUUGCUCAUGCUGUGGGGAACUUCUCUGAGUGUAGAUCUGCAGCGCUAACACUAUUGCAGAAAGGAAAAGCGGGAAACAGUGAUGUAAAGGUGUUGCCUAGGUGUACCCAGCUCGCCUCGUCGCCUAUAAAACACUGUCGGGGAACAAUAGGAAUGUGCAUAUCACGAAUGCCGCCUUGGAGCAGCAUUUGUGCCAGAGCUGGAAGGGAAAUUUUUAGCAACAGAAAAUUUUUACCAUACUUCAAAGUUCUUUGGUCUGCAUUCAAAGUCCUUCCUUUCUGAUCUGAUGGUGGCUGGGGAGAAAUUUUGCCAUGGGGAUUGGUCGAAGAUCAAGAAGAAAUACAGCUCUUUCAAUGAGGGAGAGCUGCUUCUGUUCUGUUUCUCAUCAGCAUAUAUUAUCGCUUUACUACAUGAUACUCUUAAGAUGCCGCUGGAGCAUAAGAGGAUUGAUGUUGUAAAUCAAAUCCAUGGUGUGCCUGUUGACUGGGCAUUGGGUGCUUUCAUUGUGCAAACGACGUUGAACCGGACAGAGUACUCAGACUCAUCAGUUUCAUAUCUAAACAGCUAUGACUCUUCUGGCUUGGCACCAAUUUUCUUGAUUACAACUGUGGUUGUGUUUACAGCAUUCUCCAUCCUGAGGUGGAGAAGGCCUCAGCUGAAGACGAUCUACGACAUGGAGAAAGGCCGGUACAUCAUAACCAGGGUCAGCCGAUGAGCUUUGCGCGUCGGCGCUGGGAGUGGGUGAACUUACUGCAGAGGAGCACCAGUGACCGUGUAUGUAGAUUUUCAUAAAUUAAUUUUUACCUGGUGGCCAACCCCGCAUCUUGGUGCCGCCUUGCAGAAUUAACCGGAGCUCAAGCUGCAGCCCUUGUGUAUAGGACAAUAUGGGUUGCGGUGGCAUUCAUGUCUCUGUGCCGUGUACCAUGUUGUUACCCAAUUGUUGUUGAUGUAAUUACAAUUUUGUGCAUAGGUGGGCAGUCAUGAUACAUAGCGCCCCAGCAAAACGGUUUUCUAUCUUGUGAUGUAAUGUAAUCCUGAAAUACCUAAUGAUCAAUAGAAUUUCUCUGCUGCGGAUGGCAGAUCAGUUGUAUCUCCA